CCUACGGGUGGCAGCAGUGGGGAAUAUUGGGCAAUGGACGCAAGUCUGACCCAGCAACGCCGCGUGAAGGAAGAAGGCUUUCGGGUUGUAAACUUCUUUUAAGGGGGAAGAGCAGAAGACGGUACCCCUUGAAUAAGCCACGGCUAACUACGUGCCAGCCGCCGCGGUAAUACGUAGGGGGCGGGCGUUGUCCGGAUUUACUGGGGGUAAAGGGAGUGCAGCGGGUGAGACAAGUCAGAUGGGAAAUCCAUGGGCUCAACCCGUGAUCGGCGUUUGAAACUGUUGCCCUUGAGUGUCGGAGAGGUAUGCGGAAUGCGUGGUGUAGCGGUGAAAUGCGUAGAUAUAAGGAAGAACACCAGUGGCGAAGGCGGAAUACUGGACGAUAACUGACGGUGAGGCGCGAAAGCGUGGGGAGCGAACAGGAUUAGAUACCCGGGUAGUC
Molecule: ribosomal RNA, 442 nt
Filed under: uncultured bacterium
Lineage: Bacteria
Description: partial 16S ribosomal RNA
Rfam family: Bacterial small subunit ribosomal RNA
Source: RNAcentral